UACAAAAGCCUAGUUUUGUUCCUAGUUAUUAUAGAGACUUGAAAGCACCAUAAUCACCCUCCCAAGGGAGUUUACGGCCAUAAACUCCAAGGGAAUAUGGUCUAUGGGCCGUAAACUCCCCAAAGGAGUUCAUAUGGUACCCAAACACUUGUAUAGCCUUGAAACAAUUCACCGCUAGAGUUGUAAUAAUUCUAAGCUCCGUUUAGGCACUUGGUUGAGAGUUUACGGCCAGGAGUUUAAUCCCCUUGGCCGUAAACUCCAAUGAAUAUGGUCAUUAGACCUUAAACUCCCAUUAGGGGCUUUGCACUCCUUUGUUGCAACCCAUUAGUCUCCUAGCAAUUGACCAAAAUUGUUUUCCUCGCGCUUAAAUGUUAUUACUUGUAUAAUUAGUGUUUUAAUCACUAAUUAUUUAUAUACAUAUGUUUUCAUAUGUAAUUAGGAUCAUUGUGUGUGUCUAAGUCUUCACUUGACACCAAGCACUUGUCCGAUCCUUCCGUACGAUAACAGUCCGUUCAAUUCCAGUCACUUACUGCAGGUGAGUUCAUACCCCUUAACUAAUGUUUUAAACUANCAGUCACUUACUGCAGGUGAGUUCAUACCCCUUAAUUAAUGUUUUAAACUACUUUUAAAUGUUUUAUGGGGGGAUACAAGUAGAAUCAUGCUAGUUAUUAUAUCAAUCACAUGCGAUUAAUAAGUAGAAUUACGCUAGUUAUUAUAUCAAUCACAUGUGAUUAAUAUACAACAUUCAAAAGAUUUGGCUACUCAUGAGCCGUUUUACCAAACGGUUUCCUACAAAUGAUUUUUAUAAACAUUUUAUAUGUUUUAAACUACUUAUUACACUGUACAUUUUACUCUGUACAUUACCUUUCAAACUUAUUUACAACUGUGAUUCAAACAAAUGUUCCUUAUACUUAAACUGUUUUAUCAAACUUAUGCCUUCAAAUUGUUUUAUAGAUUGACAUCAAGUCGAUCUUUUCUUAAAAUAAUAUUUCUGUUUCAAAUGUCUUACAAAACUUAUUUAUGCUUUUACUACUUAUAAAUUGCAUGCCCAUAUAUGUAUAGAUAUAUAAGCAAUGUUUAAAGGGCUUAGGAAGGCCAUCCGCCCUAUUUCCUUUUUCUCGAUUUGGAUGUGGUCUGGUGGGAUUUCGGGUGACCGUCCGAAGGUCGUUUCCAUAUUAGUUAUAUAUCAAUUAUACAUAUAUAGACAUAAAAGUACUUCCAUAUUCAUGCGUACUAUACACGUCAUUAGUAAGUUACCAUCGGGGUAACACAGUAUCGUACUACUACAACUGCUAGAUCAAUGAGUCAGUUCAUUCAUGCGUCUAUACAUUACAUAUACAACUAUACUAGGAGGAGAACAUAUACAACUAUACUAGGAGGAGAACAUAUACAACUAUACUAGGAGGAGAACAUAUACAACUAUACUAGAACGAGAAACAUUACAUUACAUAUACUAGAAU
RNAcentral lists this long non-coding RNA (1460 nucleotides) under Lactuca sativa (garden lettuce). RNAcentral describes it as "long non-coding RNA (LSAT_LNC006712)". The record is from RNAcentral. Lineage: Eukaryota; Viridiplantae; Streptophyta; Magnoliopsida; Asterales; Asteraceae.